UGCAUUGCGACGGGUUACAUC
Molecule: microRNA, 21 nt
Filed under: Alligator mississippiensis (American alligator)
Lineage: Eukaryota; Metazoa; Chordata; Crocodylia; Alligatoridae
Also listed under: 1 other name
Description: ami-miR-1397-5p
Source: miRBase by way of RNAcentral